Saccostrea cuccullata (small rock oyster) is the source of this 694-nucleotide long non-coding RNA. RefSeq lists it as uncharacterized. The record is from RefSeq and is a predicted model, not a curated record. Lineage: Eukaryota; Metazoa; Mollusca; Bivalvia; Ostreida; Ostreidae. The transcript has 3 exons.
CAAAAUACUGAGCUAGUGAAAUCCUGUAAAGUGGUGAAAAAGAAAAAUAUAUAUAUAGGACAAGUGUUUCCCAGCUUAAAACGGGAUGAUGAUGUUGUUUAUGCCGAUUCAUUCAGAGUGAAAAUAAAAAAAGUAUUAUAUAUCAGAGGAAUGUAAACGUUUAUAUAUCUGGAAGGCUUUAUAAAACAGGUGUGGAUUAAAACUUUAUUGGAGUAUAGCACAUAAAAAAGGAAUUUGCUUUAAUUUUUUCUUCGUGUGGAUGAACUGAGGAUAUAAUAGUAGACAAAUGGCGCAAGACAAACACAGGCCAAAGAAAAUUACCUUCACCAAAACCGAGAGAAGCUUUGAAUCUGCAGACUCCAUUAGUCAAACAACCCCAGAUGCUUCUGAAAAUGAGGAACGGAGUGCACUGCAAGCCGAGACUAAAAGGCUUGCCUUAGAACAGUUGCAAAAGGCAAAGGUAUGAUAAUGAUAAAUUAGCAGUGUUUGAGAGGCACUAAUAUUAGAUCACAAACACAAAGUGUUCUUUCAAAAACAUCUUUCAAACAAAAAGUAAAAAGAGGCGAAGUCAAAAAAGAAAAUGAUGGGUUUGCACUUAAAUGUGUUAAAUGUUGCCAUUUUGUUUAUUGCGUGGCACCUGUUGUUAGCUGAUAUAGAUCUUGGCAGGGGGGCUAUGCUAGUGCAUCCUCUUACU